ACCCACGAUACUUUGGUUUCCUUCAGAAAAGAGCAGGCUGCCCAGGAAUAGCCACUGAACAUGGCAUAACAGGACAUAAUAAGACUAAUCAUAAACUUUCAUAUCCAAGCUGGACUAGGUAACUGAGGAGGAGGCAGUUACAGAAAGCCAACAGCACAGACCCAUGCAGGCUCCAUGACUGCAGCUUCAGGCUCUGUGAGACCAGGUUUUUGGGCUAUUCAGGUUUCAUUUCUUGGACAUCAGGGCUAUAUCAGAUUCAGACCAUAGAUGGAAUGAACUGGCUGCUAAUCAAUCAGUAAAAACCACUCUCUUCAUCCCAGAAGAGAGGAAAAAUAGAUGGAGCUCAAAUUUUAAAUGUAUCUCAUCAGGUUAUUUUUCAAAAAGGAAAUAAUAUCUUUGGGUUGUUAAAACUUGUAUAUUACAUAUUUAGAUUUAAUAUUGUUUUCAUCUAGAACAUUUUCUUAUGAUAUACUCUUUUUCCUCCUCUAGCUCUUCCUAGUUUUUCUUAACUCCUUCUCCCUUCCCUCUAUAAUUUCACUGUGUUUCUCACAGUCUCUGUCUCUCUGUCUCUUGUCGCUCAGUCUCUAUCUCUGUCUCUAUCACUUUUUCUGAUUCUCUGUGAAACAGGAACAGAAAGAAUGAGAAUAAAAUAUUAAAUGCAACAAA
This is a long non-coding RNA of Mus musculus (house mouse), 666 nucleotides long. RefSeq annotates it as predicted gene, 40306. The record is from RefSeq and is a predicted model, not a curated record. The transcript is spliced from 3 exons. Lineage: Eukaryota; Metazoa; Chordata; Mammalia; Rodentia; Muridae.